This 207-nucleotide ribosomal RNA is filed under the name Triaenophorus nodulosus. RNAcentral's name for it is "partial 18S ribosomal RNA". It matches the Rfam family "Eukaryotic small subunit ribosomal RNA", at positions 128 to 309 of the family's 1831-position model. The record is from RNAcentral. Lineage: Eukaryota; Metazoa; Platyhelminthes; Cestoda; Bothriocephalidea; Triaenophoridae.
GUACCCGUUAAAUGGAUAACUGUAAUAACGCUAGAGCUAAUACAUGCCACGAAGCCCUGACCCGCAAGGGAAUGGGUGCACUUAUUAGAUCAGAAGCCAACCAGGUGCCGGUCGCAAGACUGGUGCCUGCUGUCGUUCUGGUGACUCUGGAUAAUUGUUACAGAUCGCAGUCGGCCUUGAGUCGGCGACGGGUCCUUCAAAUGUCUG